RNAcentral lists this ribosomal RNA (380 nucleotides) under uncultured organism. RNAcentral's name for it is "bacterial SSU rRNA". It matches the Rfam family "Bacterial small subunit ribosomal RNA", at positions 367 to 762 of the family's 1533-position model. The record is from RNAcentral.
CGCAAUGGGCGAAAGCCUGACGGAGCAAUGCCGCGUGGAGGAUGACAUCCUUUGGGUCGUAAAAUCCUUUUUUCAGAGAAGAAGUUUUGACGGUAUUUGAGGAAUAAGCAUCGGCUAACUCCGUGCCAGCAGCCGCGGUAAGACGGAGGAUGCAAGCGUUAUCCGGAAUGAUUGGGCGUAAAGCGUCUGUAGGUGGUUUAUUAAGUCUACUGUUAAAGAUCUGGGCUUAACCCUGAAUCGGCAGUAGAAACUACUGAGCUUGAGUACGGUAGGGGCAGAGGGAAUUCCCGGUGUAGCGGUGAAAUGCGUAGAGAUCGGGAAGAACACCAAAGGCGAAAGCACUUUGCUGGGCCGAAACUGACACUCAGAGACGAAAGCGU